GACGAACGCUGGCGGCGUGCUUAACACAUGCAAGUCGAACGGAAAGGCCCUGCUUUUGUGGGGUGCUCGAGUGGCGAACGGGUGAGUAACACGUGAGUAACCUGCCCUUGACUUUGGGAUAACUUCAGGAAACUGGGGCUAAUACCGGAUAGGAGCUCCUGCUGCAUGGUGGGGGUUGGAAAGUUUCGGCGGUUGGGGAUGGACUCGCGGCUUAUCAGCUUGUUGGUGGGGUAGUGGCUUACCGAGGCUUUGACGGGUAGCCGGCCUGAGAGGGUGACCGGCCACAUUGGGAAUGAGAUACGGCCCAGACUCCUACGGGAGGCAGCAGUGGGGAAUAUUGCACAAUGGGCGGAAGCCUGAUGCAGCAACGCCGCGUGCGGGAUGACGGCCUUCGGGUUGUAAACCGCUUUCGCCUGUGACGAAGCGUGAGUGACGGUAAUGGGUAAAGAAGCACCGGCUAACUACGUG
This 468-nucleotide ribosomal RNA is filed under the name uncultured bacterium. Its description in RNAcentral is "partial 16S ribosomal RNA". It matches the Rfam family "Bacterial small subunit ribosomal RNA", at positions 28 to 507 of the family's 1533-position model. The record is from RNAcentral.